UACGGAAGGCAGCAGUGGGGAAUAUUGCACAAUGGGCGCAAGCCUGAUGCAGCCAUGCCGCGUGUAUGAAGAAGGCCUUCGGGUUGUAAAGUACUUUCAGUCGUGAGGAAGGUGUUAAGGUUAAUAACCUUAGCAAUUGACGUUAGCGACAGAAGAAGCACCGGCUAACUCCGUGCCAGCAGCCGCGGUAAUACGGAGGGUGCGAGCGUUAAUCGGAAUUACUGGGCGUAAAGGGCACGCAGGCGGUUAAUUAAGUUGGAUGUGAAAUCCCCGGGCUUAACCUGGGAAUGGCAUUCAAGACUGGUUAGCUAGAGUCUUGUAGAGGGGGUAGAAUUCCAUGUGUAGCGGUGAAAUGCGUAGAGAUGUGGAGGAAUACCGGUGGCGAAGGCGGCCCCUGGACAAAGACUGACGCUCAUGUGCGAAAACGUGGGGAGCAAACGAGGGAUUAGAUACC
This 454-nucleotide ribosomal RNA is filed under the name uncultured bacterium. RNAcentral's name for it is "bacterial SSU rRNA". It matches the Rfam family "Bacterial small subunit ribosomal RNA", at positions 340 to 786 of the family's 1533-position model. The record is from RNAcentral.